Molecule: unclassified non-coding RNA, 261 nt
Organism: Callithrix jacchus (white-tufted-ear marmoset)
Lineage: Eukaryota; Metazoa; Chordata; Mammalia; Primates; Cebidae
Rfam family: Metazoan signal recognition particle RNA
About the family: The signal recognition particle (SRP) is a universally conserved ribonucleoprotein. It is involved in the co-translational targeting of proteins to membranes. The eukaryotic SRP consists of a 300-nucleotide 7S RNA and six proteins: SRPs 72, 68, 54, 19, 14, and 9.
Source: Ensembl
GUGAGGCCGAGGUGUGAGGAUCACUUGAGCCCAGGGGUUCUGGGAUGUAGUGCGCUAUGCUGAUCGGGUAUCUGCAUGAAGUUCGGCAUCAAUAUGGUAACCUCCCCGGAAUGGGAGACCACCAGGUUGCCCAAGGAGGGGUAAACCGGCCCAGAUUGGAAACUGAGCAGGUCAAAAUUCCCAUGCUGAUCAGUAGUGGUACUGCACCUGUGAAUAGCCACUGCAUUCCAGCCUGGGCAACACAGCAAGACCCUGUCUCAA